CACGUAGGAGGCAAACGUUAUCCGGAUUUACUGGGCGUAAAGUGCGUGUAGGUGGUUCUGUAAGUAGGGCGUGAAAGCUCCCGGCUCAACUGGGAGAGGCCGUUCUAUACUGCAGAGCUAGAGGAUGGUAGAGGGAGGUGGAAUUCCAGGUGUAGCGGUGGAAUGCGCAGAUAUCGGGAAGAACACCGAUGGCGAAGGCAGCCUGCUGGGCCGAAACUGACGCUGAGGUGCGAAAGCUAGGGGAGCGAACAGGAUUAGAUACCCCUGUA
Molecule: ribosomal RNA, 269 nt
Filed under: uncultured prokaryote
Description: partial 16S ribosomal RNA
Rfam family: Bacterial small subunit ribosomal RNA
Source: RNAcentral